UCAGAUUGAGCUCACACUAUCUAUAGCUAUAUUGUAGUUGUUUAUUUGCCACAAUAUUGAACCAACCUCACAUCAAACCACAUUUUUCGAUCUUAAAGUCAGAUUUAUCUAUCACUUAGGAAGGGGUCAGAAAAUUGAUUUGGCAACAUUUAUUUAUGAGCAUAUUUUCUCCCACGGUGUUUAGGAAGACUGUCAACGCUCUCUGAUAUUUCCAAAUCUAAUCAAUGGGAUUUGCAAGAGCUCAUGCAUCACUAUCCCAUAUGGGGAACUCUCAAGAGCCUAGCAUUUUUAUUAAGCGCACUACUUUGAAGGCUUGAGGAUAGAGCUCAGGAGAAGUAUAGAGAGAGAUAAGAGAGGAAACACUGACGUCAACAGUCGGCUGUUCAAGGUUAGGGGGCUGAGGAUGUUGAGAUGCCCUAGGCACCACCACCGUCAAUGGACGUCAAUACACAGUUGUUGCUACAAAUGUUAGCCACUCUUACUAGUACUAGCCGAAAUAUUCAAGUCUUCAACAGGCUUUUGGGGCCAUGCAAACUAAUAUCCAGGUAAUGCGGGAUGAUAUGUCUUCCGUAAGGAAUUUUACAUCCAUUACCAGUAGAGAGUCCUUGGCUACCAGGAUAGAGCUUGGGACUUUGAAUGGACAGUUGAGCACUUACAUAGGCCAUGUUGAUGGGAUCUGGUUGAGAGCUGAUGAGACAUGGAACUGAGUUGCGAAAGCAGUGCACACUGAUUCAGGGUAUGAAGGAUAGCUUGAUGAGAAUUUUGGCAUGAUGAGGGGGAAGGGAAAGGAGGAUCUUGGUUAAACCUUUCGAUUCCAUAUACACAAGCCAUUGAACAUUUGUACAAAUAGAAAAGAUAUUUCAUAUAUGUGAUG
RNAcentral lists this long non-coding RNA (874 nucleotides) under Olea europaea (common olive). RNAcentral describes it as "long non-coding RNA (OEUR_LNC002169)". Lineage: Eukaryota; Viridiplantae; Streptophyta; Magnoliopsida; Lamiales; Oleaceae. The record is from RNAcentral.